GGCUGCAACUCGCCUACAUGAAGUCGGAAUUGCUAGUAAUCGCGGAUCAGCAUGCCGCGGUGAAUACGUUCCCGGGCCUUGUACACACCGCCCGUCACACCAUGGGAGUCGGUAACACCCGAAGCCUGUAGUCUAACCGCAAGGAGGACGCAGUCGAAGGUGGGAUUGAUGACUGGGGUGAAGUCGUAACAAGGUAUC
Molecule: ribosomal RNA, 198 nt
Filed under: uncultured bacterium
Lineage: Bacteria
Description: partial 16S ribosomal RNA
Rfam family: Bacterial small subunit ribosomal RNA
Source: RNAcentral